RNAcentral lists this microRNA precursor (81 nucleotides) under Bombyx mori (domestic silkworm). RNAcentral describes it as "mir-2807 microRNA precursor family". It matches the Rfam family "mir-2807 microRNA precursor family". Lineage: Eukaryota; Metazoa; Arthropoda; Insecta; Lepidoptera; Bombycidae. The record is from Rfam by way of RNAcentral.
UUUACUGAAAUUUGUAUGGAGUUGGAAAGUUUGCUUACGUUUGCCGCUAGGGGCGCUGUUCCAACUGCAUACUUUGAGGUG